RNAcentral lists this ribosomal RNA (528 nucleotides) under uncultured bacterium. Its description in RNAcentral is "bacterial SSU rRNA". It matches the Rfam family "Bacterial small subunit ribosomal RNA", at positions 980 to 1509 of the family's 1533-position model. The record is from RNAcentral.
CUUGACAUCCAGCGAACUUGGCAGAGAUGCCUUGGUGCCUUCGGGAACGCUGAGACAGGUGCUGCAUGGCUGUCGUCAGCUCGUGUUGUGAAAUGUUGGGUUAAGUCCGCAACGAGCGCAACCCUUAUCCUUUGUUGCCAGCGAUUCGGUCGGGAACUCAAAGGAGACUGCCGGUGAUAAACCGGAGGAAGGUGGGGAUAACGUCAAGUCAUCAUGGCCCUUACGAGUAGGGCUACACACGUGCUACAAUGGCGCAUACAAAGAGAAGCGACCUCGCGAGAGCAAGCGGACCUCAUAAAGUGCGUCGUAGUCCGGAUCGGAGUCUGCAACUCGACUCCGUGAAGUCGGAAUCGCUAGUAAUCGUGGAUCAGAAUGCCACGGUGAAUACGUUCCCGGGCCUUGUACACACCGCCCGUCACACCAUGGGAGUGGGUUGCAAAAGAAGUAGGUAGCUUAACCUUCGGGAGGGCGCUUACCACUUUGUGAUUCAUGACUGGGGUGAAGUCGUAACAAGGUAAGCGUAGCGAG